Molecule: ribosomal RNA, 407 nt
Filed under: uncultured bacterium
Lineage: Bacteria
Description: bacterial SSU rRNA
Rfam family: Bacterial small subunit ribosomal RNA
Source: RNAcentral
GUGGGGAAUCUUGCACAAUGGGCGAAAGCCUGAUGCAGCAACGCCGCGUGAGCGAAGAAGGCCUUUGGGUCGUAAAGCUCUGUCCUAAGGGAAGAAGAAAGUGACGGUACCUUAGGAGGAAGCCCCGGCUAACUACGUGCCAGCAGCCGCGGUAAUACGUAGGGGGCAAGCGUUAUCCGGAAUUAUUGGGCGUAAAGAGUACGUAGGCGGUUCUUUAAGCGCAGGGUUUAAGGCUAUAGCUUAACUAUAGUUCGCCCUGUGAACUGGAGGACUUGAGUAUCGGAGAGGAAAGCGGAAUUCCUAGUGUAGCGGUGAAAUGCGUAGAUAUUAGGAGGAACACCAGUGGCGAAGGCGGCUUUCUGGACGAAAACUGACGCUGAGGUACGAAAGCGUGGGGAGCAAACAGG